UUUUGAGCUGCUACAAGUCCAGCAUAGAAGAAUUUAUUCAGACCAAGACCAGCAGCAGUCAUGUCCCGAACAAUUGCAUACCUGCAAUGUUGGAAAAGAAGCCAAUCAGAUGACAGAGGGAAACAAAGAUUAUGAAUCCAGCAAUAAAUAAACCACAUAACAUCAUGUUCGGAAAGAUUGGAUGAAAUAUGACACUGAAACAUCAACAAUGAGCGCAAAGAAGUUGACUCUUGAUAGGGCUGCUGACUUGGAGGAGGUAGAGUAGUGGGAGAGGUGGUGGUUUCGGCGGUGGUGGUGAAGGAGAUCUCGGAGAGGGUGGUGGCUUU
This 326-nucleotide long non-coding RNA is filed under the name Solanum tuberosum (potato). RNAcentral's name for it is "long non-coding RNA (STUB_LNC008776)". The record is from RNAcentral. Lineage: Eukaryota; Viridiplantae; Streptophyta; Magnoliopsida; Solanales; Solanaceae.